Molecule: ribosomal RNA, 465 nt
Filed under: Vreelandella stevensii
Lineage: Bacteria; Pseudomonadati; Pseudomonadota; Gammaproteobacteria; Oceanospirillales; Halomonadaceae
Description: partial 16S ribosomal RNA
Rfam family: Bacterial small subunit ribosomal RNA
Source: RNAcentral
CCUACGGGAGGCAGCAGUGGGGAAUAUUGGACAAUGGGCGAAAGCCUGAUCCAGCCAUGCCGCGUGUGUGAAGAAGGCCUUCGGGUUGUAAAGCACUUUCAGUGGGGAAGAAAGCCUUGGGGCUAAUACCCUCGAGGAAGGACAUCACCCACAGAAGAAGCACCGGCUAACUCCGUGCCAGCAGCCGCGGUAAUACGGAGGGUGCGGGCGUUAAUCGGAAUUACUGGGCGUAAAGCGCGCGUAGGCGGUCUGAUAAGCCGGUUGUGAAAGCCCCGGGCUCAACCUGGGAACGGCAUCCGGAACUGUCAGGCUAGAGUGCAGGAGAGGAAGGUAGAAUUCCCGGUGUAGCGGUGAAAUGCGUAGAGAUCGGGAGGAAUACCAGUGGCGAAGGCGGCCUUCUGGACUGACACUGACGCUGAGGUGCGAAAGCGUGGGUAGCAAACAGGAUUAGAUACCCCUGUAGUC